Long non-coding RNA from Phalaenopsis equestris, 1494 nucleotides. RefSeq lists it as uncharacterized. NCBI's taxonomy places the organism in Eukaryota, Viridiplantae, Streptophyta, Magnoliopsida, Asparagales, Orchidaceae. The transcript is spliced from 3 exons. The record is from RefSeq and is a predicted model, not a curated record.
UUAAAUUUCGUCACUCCUCUUUGGGCGGAAUCAACCUUAUCCCGUCGAGGUCUUCUCCUGCGAGCCCCCGUCGCGUCUUCCUCAACUACACGUCGUCGAUCCCGUCAAUAGCAUCUCCAGCAAGCUUCCUACAGAAUUUCUUCUUCGAUCACUGCUAGUCCCACCGACGCCUUGUACGCGACUUCCUUCCUUCUUAGGGUUUCAGGUAGGAGUGGAUUGGGAGGAUGUAUGGAAAGGAGAGAACAAGACCAAGAGCGUGCAAGCGAGAGCAACGGAAAAUUGAGCGGGACUUGGUUUUGUGAGAACCAUUCAAACCUCACGCAAUAACGUGCACGAUUAUGGGAGAUGAAAGGCACAGUGAAUCGGAGCUGGUCUCGCCGAAGAAGCUUAGGAGGCAAUGGAGACGACGAAAGGAAGUCGAUGGAGACGAUGACACAUAAUAGAGUUGUGGAUCACAGGAGCCCAAUUUUAGGGCUCUUGGGUCUACUUUUGCGUCGGCCAUGGUCCUAGACACAAACGCUCGAAAACUGAUCUCCCCUUGCAUAAAGUGCAUCAACCCAUGCUCAAUCAGAAUCUUAGUGGAGAGAAUUUCCAGGCAUGAAAAGCUUCCAAGUUCUGCCCUCCGCCACCAUAGAGAUUAACAUCGAAACACACUGUCAGCAUCAUCAAGUUCCUUUUGUUGGUCAACAUCAACAUUGAUUGCUGCCAUCCCCUUCACCACCAGCACUUAAACAUGAAUUGUUGAUUAAUAUUGCCACAAUUUUUUUUUUUCAUCCUCUAGCAUUCAACAUAAGCCUUCAUGGUUGCUUGAUGCUCUAGCCUAUAAGAAAAUAGUUGAGUUAGCCUACCAUAAUUCACCCAACGUCCAAUACUCUCGUUGAUUAUUUCCUAACACAAACUAUAUAUUUAUUUUUAAAGUUUGUUAUACACAAAUACCAAUGAAAAUAUACUUGUCUUCGUGGUUUCCCAUAUUAAAAGAAGAAAAAUCAUAUCAUAGCACCCAACAGUACCCAAACUCUAAUAUUUCAUCUUGAUUAUCACUUAAAGCAUACUAAAGGGUGAUGCCUAAUAUUUUAUCUUCUCUUUUAUAAAGAGAACGAUGUAGUUAAACCAUCUGACAUUCUUUAACAUCUAAUUAAAAUCAUUCGAUCUCUAAAACUUAUUUUGUUAACCAUCAUUCAAUGCAUAUCAAAUAUGGCAUAUCAUGUUUCUUAGGCAAUGAAGUUUGAUUCAGACCUUUCUAGUCACUAAGUCUCUCCUUUUAUAUGAAGAAUGAUUGUUCAAAACCACAAUGUUCUCAAAUGAUCAUUGCUUGAUGCAUACUAAGGAAUUAUCUCUGAUGUUCAUUAAUUAUGAAUGAUUGGUAUAACACUCCUUGAUUCCUUUGUCUCCAAUCCUAUAAGAAAAAUGAUUGAAUCAAGCCUUCCCGAUCUUCUAACAUCCUUUCUAUAAGGCCCAUGGAGUAAUAUCUGAUGUUCAUCCAAUAUUGCUUAA